Molecule: ribosomal RNA, 366 nt
Filed under: uncultured eukaryote
Lineage: Eukaryota
Description: partial 18S ribosomal RNA
Rfam family: Eukaryotic small subunit ribosomal RNA
Source: RNAcentral
CAAUAGCGUAUAUUAAAGUUGUUGCAGUUAAAAAGCUCGUAGUUGAAUUUCUGGCGGGCGCGCCGGUCUUCCAAGUGUUGUACUGGGCGCAGUCCGCCAUCCUUGUGGAGAGGGCUCGCAUUGAGUUGCGUGUCGGAUCUGCAUCAUUUACUGUGAAAAAAUUAGAGUGUUUAAAGCAGGCUGUCGCUUGAAUACAUUAGCAUGGAAUAAUAAGAUAGGACUUCGGUCUAUUUUGUUGGUUGCGAACCGAGGUAAUGAUUAAUAGGGAUAGUUGGGGGUAUUCAUAUUUAAUUGUCAGAGGUGAAAUUCUUGGAUUUACGCAAGACAAACAGCUGCGAAAGCGUCUGCCAAGGAUGUUUUCAUUAA